This 237-nucleotide ribosomal RNA is filed under the name uncultured bacterium. RNAcentral describes it as "partial 16S ribosomal RNA". It matches the Rfam family "Bacterial small subunit ribosomal RNA", at positions 96 to 334 of the family's 1533-position model. The record is from RNAcentral.
CGGCGGGCGGGUGAGUAACGCGUGGGUAACUACCCUGUACACACGGAUAACAUACCGAAAGGUAUGCUAAUACGGGAUAAUAUAUUUGAGAGGCAUCUCUUAAAUAUCAAAGGUGAGCCAGUACAGGAUGGACCCGCGUCUGAUUAGCUAGCUGGUAAGGUAACGGCUUACCAAGGCGACGAUCAGUAGCCGACCUGAGAGGGUGACCGGCCACAUUGGGACUGAGACACAGCCCAA